CUACGGGGUGCUGCAGUAGGGAAUAUUGCUUAAUGGGCGAAAGCCUGAAGCAGCAACGCCGCGUGUACGAUGAAGGCCUUCGGGUUGUAAAGUACUUUUUGCAGGGAUGAGGAAGGACAGUACCUGCAGAAUAAGCCUCGGCUAACUACGUGCCAGCAGCCGCGGUAAAACGUAGGAGGCGAGCGUUAUCCGGAUUUACUGGGCGUAAAGCGCGUGUAGGCGGAUUGGUAAGUUAGCUGUGAAAGCUCCCGGCUUAACUGGGAGAGGUCGGUUAAUACUGUCAGUCUAGAGUAUGUGAGGGGAAGUGGAAUUCCGGGUGUAGUGGUGAAAUGCGUAGAUAUCCGGAGGAACACCAGAGGCGAAAGCGGCUUCCUGGCACAUAACUGACGCUCAGACGCGAAAGCUAGGGGAGCGAACGGGAUUAGAUACCCUAGUAGUC
Molecule: ribosomal RNA, 439 nt
Filed under: uncultured bacterium
Lineage: Bacteria
Description: partial 16S ribosomal RNA
Rfam family: Bacterial small subunit ribosomal RNA
Source: RNAcentral